This is a non-coding RNA of Pholiota conissans, 85 nucleotides long. Lineage: Eukaryota; Fungi; Basidiomycota; Agaricomycetes; Agaricales; Strophariaceae. The record is from the annotation of a GenBank genome assembly.
UGCCCCAUGGCUAAGUUGGUCAAAGCGUCCGACUGUUAGCAUUUGCGCGAUCGGAAGGUCGUGAGUUCGAGCCUCACUGGGGCAG